This 1134-nucleotide ribosomal RNA is filed under the name Stemphylium vesicarium. RNAcentral describes it as "SSU rRNA". It matches the Rfam family "Eukaryotic small subunit ribosomal RNA", at positions 19 to 1163 of the family's 1831-position model. The record is from RNAcentral. Lineage: Eukaryota; Fungi; Ascomycota; Dothideomycetes; Pleosporales; Pleosporaceae.
UGUAGUCAUAUGCUUGUCUCAAAGAUUAAGCCAUGCAUGUCUAAGUAUAAGCAAUUAUACCGUGAAACUGCGAAUGGCUCAUUAAAUCAGUUAUCGUUUAUUUGAUAAUACCUUACUACUUGGAUAACCGUGGUAAUUCUAGAGCUAAUACAUGCUGAAAAUCCCGACUUCGGAAGGGAUGUGUUUAUUAGAUAAAAAACCAAUGCCCUUCGGGGCUUUUUGGUGAUUCAUGAUAACUUUACGGAUCGCAUAGCCUUGCGCUGGCGACGGUUCAUUCAAAUUUCUGCCCUAUCAACUUUCGAUGGUAAGGUAUUGGCUUACCAUGGUUUCAACGGGUAACGGGGAAUUAGGGUUCGAUUCCGGAGAGGGAGCCUGAGAAACGGCUACCACAUCCAAGGAAGGCAGCAGGCGCGCAAAUUACCCAAUCCCGACACGGGGAGGUAGUGACAAUAAAUACUGAUACAGGGCUCUUUUGGGUCUUGUAAUUGGAAUGAGUACAAUUUAAACCUCUUAACGAGGAACAAUUGGAGGGCAAGUCUGGUGCCAGCAGCCGCGGUAAUUCCAGCUCCAAUAGCGUAUAUUAAAGUUGUUGCAGUUAAAAAGCUCGUAGUUGAAACUUGGGCCUGGCUGGCGGGUCCGCCUCACCGCGUGCACUCGUCCGGCCGGGCCUUCCUUCUGAAGAACCUCAUGCCCUUCACUGGGCGUGUUGGGGAAUCAGGACUUUUACUUUGAAAAAAUUAGAGUGUUCAAAGCAGGCCUUUGCUCGAAUACGUUAGCAUGGAAUAAUAAAAUAGGGCGUGCGUUUCUAUUUUGUUGGUUUCUAGAGACGCCGCAAUGAUUAACAGGAACAGUCGGGGGCAUCAGUAUUCAGUUGUCAGAGGUGAAAUUCUUGGAUUUACUGAAGACUAACUACUGCGAAAGCAUUUGCCAAGGAUGUUUUCAUUAAUCAGUGAACGAAAGUUAGGGGAUCGAAGACGAUCAGAUACCGUCGUAGUCUUAACCGUAAACUAUGCCGACUAGGGAUCGGGCGAUGUUCUUUUUCUGACUCGCUCGGCACCUUACGAGAAAUCAAAGUUUUUGGGUUCUGGGGGGAUUAUGGUCGCAAGGCUGAAACUUAAAGGAAUUGACGGAAGA